RNAcentral lists this ribosomal RNA (492 nucleotides) under uncultured bacterium. RNAcentral describes it as "partial 16S ribosomal RNA". It matches the Rfam family "Bacterial small subunit ribosomal RNA", at positions 29 to 507 of the family's 1533-position model. The record is from RNAcentral.
AGUGAACGCUGGCGGUAGGCCUAACACAUGCAAGUCGAACGGCAGCACAGUAAGAGCUUGCUCUUACGGGUGGCGAGUGGCGGACGGGUGAGGAAUACGUCGGAAUCUACUUUUUCGUGGGGGAUAACGUAGGGAAACUUACGCUAAUACCGCAUACGACCUACGGGUGAAAGCAGGGGAUCUUUGGACCUUGCGCGAUUGAAUGAGCCGAUGUCGGAUUAGCUAGUUGGCGGGGUAAAGGCCCACCAAGGCGACGAUCCGUAGCUGGUCUGAGAGGAUGAUCAGCCACACUGGAACUGAGACACGGUCCAGACUCCUACGGGAGGCAGCAGUGGGGAAUAUUGGACAAUGGGCGCAAGCCUGAUCCAGCCAUACCGCGUGGGUGAAGAAGGCCUUCGGGUUGUAAAGCCCUUUUGUUGGGAAAGAAAAGCAGCAGGUUAAUACCCCGCUGUUCUGACGGUACCCAAAGAAUAAGCACCGGCUAACUUCGUG